Molecule: ribosomal RNA, 1312 nt
Filed under: metagenome
Description: bacterial SSU rRNA
Rfam family: Bacterial small subunit ribosomal RNA
Source: RNAcentral
GCAGGGGAUCGCAAGACCUCGCGCUGAUUGAGCGGCCGAUAUCAGAUUAGCUUGUUGGUGAGGUAAAAGCUCACCAAGGCGACGAUCUGUAGCGGGUCUGAGAGGAUGAUCCGCCACACUGGAACUGAGACACGGUCCAGACUCCUACGGGAGGCAGCAGUGGGGAAUUUUGGACAAUGGGGGCAACCCUGAUCCAGCCAUGCCGCGUGAGUGAAGAAGGCCUUCGGGUUGUAAAGCUCUUUCAGCCGGGAAGAAAACGCAUGGGUUAAUACCCUGUGUGGAUGACGGUACCGGAAUAAGAAGCACCGGCUAACUACGUGCCAGCAGCCGCGGUAAUACGUAGGGUGCGAGCGUUAAUCGGAAUUACUGGGCGUAAAGCGUGCGCAGGCGGUUUUGUAAGACAGGCGUGAAAUCCCCGGGCUUAACCUGGGAACUGCGUUUGUGACUGCAAGGCUAGAGUACGGCAGAGGGGGGUGGAAUUCCACGUGUAGCAGUGAAAUGCGUAGAGAUGUGGAGGAACACCAAUGGCGAAGGCAGCCCCCUGGGUCGAUACCGACGCUCAUGCACGAAAGCGUGGGUAGCAAACAGGAUUAGAUACCCUGGUAGUCCACGCCCUAAACGAUGUCAACUAGGUGUUGGGAGGGUAAAACCUUUUAGUACCGGAGCUAACGCGUGAAGUUGACCGCCUGGGGAGUACGGCCGCAAGGUUAAAACUCAAAGGAAUUGACGGGGACCCGCACAAGCGGUGGAUGAUGUGGAUUAAUUCGAUGCAACGCGAAAAACCUUACCUACCCUUGACAUGCCAAGAACUUUCCAGAGAUGGAUUGGUGCCCGAAAGGGAACUUGGACACAGGUGCUGCAUGGCUGUCGUCAGCUCGUGUCGUGAGAUGUUGGGUUAAGUCCCGCAACGAGCGCAACCCUUGUCGUUAAUUGCCAUCAUUUAGUUGGGCACUUUAACGAGACUGCCGGUGACAAACCGGAGGAAGGUGGGGAUGACGUCAAGUCCUCAUGGCCCUUAUGGGUAGGGCUUCACACGUCAUACAAUGGUCGGUACAAAGGGUCGCCAAGCCGCGAGGUGGAGCCAAUCCCAGAAAGCCGAUCGUAGUCCGGAUCGCAGUCUGCAACUCGACUGCGUGAAGUCGGAAUCGCUAGUAAUCGUGGAUCAGAAUGUCACGGUGAAUACGUUCCCGGGUCUUGUACACACCGCCCGUCACACCAUGGGAGCGGGUUCCGCCAGAAGUAGGUAGCCUAACCGCAAGGAGGGCGCUUACCACGGCGGGGUUCGUGACUGGGGUGAAGUCGUAACAAGGUA